UCGUAACAAGGUCUCCGUUGGUGAACCAGCGGAGGGAUCAUUACCGAGUUUACAACUCCCAAACCCCUGUGAACAUACCACUUGUUGCCUCGGCGGAUCAGCCCGCUCCCGGUAAAACGGGACGGCCCGCCAGAGGACCCCUAAACUCUGUUUCUAUAUGUAACUUCUGAGUAAAACCAUAAAUAAAUCAAAACUUUCAACAACGGAUCUCUUGGUUCUGGCAUCGAUGAAGAACGCAGCAAAAUGCGAUAAGUAAUGUGAAUUGCAGAAUUCAGUGAAUCAUCGAAUCUUUGAACGCACAUUGCGCCCGCCAGUAUUCUGGCGGGCAUGCCUGUUCGAGCGUCAUUUCAACCCUCAAGCACAGCUUGGUGUUGGGACUCGCGUUAAUUCGCGUUCCCCAAAUUGAUUGGCGGUCACGUCGAGCUUCCAUAGCGUAGUAGUAAAACCCUCGUUACUGGUAAUCGUCGCGGCCACGCCGUUAAACCCCAACUUCUGAAUGUUGACCUCGGAUCAGGUAGGAAUACCCGCUGAACUUAAGCAUAUCAAUAUCG
This 551-nucleotide ribosomal RNA is filed under the name uncultured fungus. Its description in RNAcentral is "eukaryotic LSU rRNA". The stretch from base 192 to 345 matches the Rfam family "5.8S ribosomal RNA". The record is from RNAcentral. Lineage: Eukaryota; Fungi.